RNAcentral lists this ribosomal RNA (254 nucleotides) under uncultured bacterium. RNAcentral's name for it is "partial 16S ribosomal RNA". It matches the Rfam family "Bacterial small subunit ribosomal RNA", at positions 524 to 776 of the family's 1533-position model. The record is from RNAcentral.
UACGAAGGGGGCUAGCGUUGCUCGGAAUCACUGGGCGUAAAGGGUGCGUAGGCGGUUGGGUAAGUCGGGUGUGAAAACUCCAGGCUCAACUUGGAGACGCCACCCGAUACUGCUCUGACUUGAGUUCGGUAGGGGAGUGGGGAAUUCCUGGUGUAGCGGUGAAAUGCGUAGAGAUCGGGAGGAACAUCAGUUGCGAAGGCGGCUCUCUGGACCAGCACUGACACUGAGGCACGAAAGCGUGGGGAGCAAACGGG